UAUUAGGUGAUUCAUAAUAACUUAUCGAAGCGCAGGUCUCGUAUCGGCGCUGAUACAUACGAGUCUCUGCCCUAUCAACUUUCGAUUGUAAGGUAUUGGCUUACAAUGGUUGUAACGGGUGACAGGGAAUUAGGGUUUGAUUCUGGAGAGGCAGCCUGAGAAACGGCUACCACUUCCAAGGAAGGCAGCAGGCGCGCAAAUUACCCAAUCCUGACACAGGGAGGUAGUGACAAAAUACCAUUAGAGGCGUUUAAUACGUUCUCUAUUUGGAAUGAGUACAAUUUAAAACUCUUAACGAGGAACAAUUGGAGGGCAAGUCUGGUGCCAGCAGCCGCGGUAAUUCCAGCUCCAAUAGCGUAUAUUAAAAUUGUUGCAGUUAAAAAGCUCGUAGUUGAAUUUCGGAGCGCCUUUUGUGGGAUUCUGGUUCGGCGUAAUGCCGCGACCGGCCCCGGGUCUCCUUUUUUUCGAAUGCACGCCCGUAUUCACUAAUCUGGGUGCGGUGUCGGGCUUCGGAUCGUUUACUUUGAAAAAAUUAGAGUGUUUAAAGCAGGCGUAAUUGCCUCUGAAUAAUGCAGCAUGGGAUAAUAGAAUAGGACUUUGGGCCUAUUUUGUUGGUUUCUGGGUCUGAAGUAAUGAUUAAUAGGGACAGUUGGGGGCCUUAGUAUCGAGUUGUCAGAGGUGAAAUUCUAAGAGUUACUCGAGACUAACUACUGCGAAAGCAUUGGCCAAGGAUGUUUUCAUUAAUCAAGAACGAAAGUUGGGGGAUCGAAGAUGAUCAGAUACCGUCGUAGUCCUAACCUUAAACUAUGCCGACCAGGGAUCCGAGGACGCUAAAUGGAUGGCUCUUCGGGCACCUUGUGAGAAAUCACAAGUAAGGUUCUGGGGGGAGUAUGGUCGCAAGGCUGAAACUUAAAAGAAUUGACGGAGCGACACCACCAGGAGUGGAACCUGCGGCUUAAUUUGACCCAACACGGGAAAACUCACCAGGUCCGGACACAGGAAGGAAACACAGCUUUGCAGAACUUUGUUGAUUCUGUGAGGGGUGGUGCAUGGCCGUUUCUAAUUCGUGGAGUGAUUUGUCAGGUUAAUUCCGGUAACGAAUGAGACCUUGACCUAUUAAAUAGCCGUGCUUAUGCUCUAUCGAGCUUAGGCACCCGGCUUCUUAGAGGGACUAUUCGAUUAUAAGCGGAUGGAAGUUCGAGGCCAAAACAGGUCUGUGAUGCCCUUCGAUGUCCUGGGCUGCACGCGCGUUACACUGUUGCAUUCAACGAGUUUGUCUUGCUUGCCUGAGAAGGAUGG
RNAcentral lists this ribosomal RNA (1299 nucleotides) under metagenome. Its description in RNAcentral is "SSU rRNA". It matches the Rfam family "Eukaryotic small subunit ribosomal RNA", at positions 240 to 1545 of the family's 1831-position model. The record is from RNAcentral.